RNAcentral lists this ribosomal RNA (490 nucleotides) under uncultured bacterium. RNAcentral's name for it is "partial 16S ribosomal RNA". It matches the Rfam family "Bacterial small subunit ribosomal RNA", at positions 30 to 507 of the family's 1533-position model. The record is from RNAcentral.
AUUGAACGCUGGCGGCAGGCCUAACACAUGCAAGUCGAACGGUAACAGGAAGAAGCUUGCUUCUUUGCUGACGAGUGGCGGACGGGUGAGUAAUGUCUGGGAAACUGCCUGAUGGAGGGGGAUAACUACUGGAAACGGUAGCUAAUACCUCAUAACGUCUCAAGCCCAAAGAGGGGGACCUUCUUGCCUCUUGCCAUCGGAUGUGCCCAGAUGGGAUUAGCUAGUAGGUGGGGUAACGGCUCACCUAGGCGACGAUCCCUAGCUGGUAUGAGAGGAUGACCGGCCACCGUGGAACUGAGCCACGGUCCAGACUCCUACGGGAGGGCGCAGUGGGGAAUAUUGCACAAUGGGCGCAAGCAUGAUGCAGCGAUGCCGAGUGUAUGAAGAAGGCGUUCGGGUUGUAAAGUACUUUCAGCGGGGAGGAAGGGAGUAAAGUUAAUACCUUUGCUCAUUGACGUUACCCGCAGAAGAAGCACCGGCUAACUCCGUG